Molecule: small RNA, 805 nt
Filed under: Pongo abelii (Sumatran orangutan)
Lineage: Eukaryota; Metazoa; Chordata; Mammalia; Primates; Hominidae
Description: processed transcript
Source: RNAcentral
AUAAAAAGAGGGACAAGUGGCUGGUGCUGUGGACAGAGAAGCUUUAUUUUUAGUAUGAGACAAUCUCUAUUUUCUUUCAGGAGAGGGAAGUUGGAUUAUCAAUUCUUUUGUAAAUGUGUAUGGUGAUAUUUGCUCCGCUUUUUGCAAUCUUUGCAUUUGCAACAUGCGGUGGCUAUUCCGGAGGCCUGCGGCUGAGUGUGGACUGUGUCAACAAGACAGAAAGUAACCUCAGCAUCGACAUAGCGUUUGCCUACCCAUUCAGGUUGCAUCAGGUGACGUUUGAGGUGCCCACCUGCGAGGGAAAGGAACGGCAGAAGCUGGCAUUGAUUGGUGACUCCUCGUCUUCAGCAGAGUUCUUCGUCACUGUUGCUGUCUUCGCCUUCCUCUACUCUUUGGCUGCCACUGUCGUUUACAUUUUCUUCCAGAACAAAUACCGGGAAAACAACCGGGGCCCACUCAUUGCAGAAAGUUCAGAGUGUGGGUCGAAAUCCAGAGCUCAAUUCAUAAUCACCAUGCAAGAGACCCAAGAUCCUGAUAGCCAAUGUGCUAUAAAAGUUAGAGAGGUGGAGAUAGGACUUCAUUGUCACUGUAGUCUUUUCGUUUUUGUGGUUGGUGGGUUCAUCAGCUUGGGCAAAAGGACUGUCUGACGUCAAAGUUGCAACAGAUCCCAAGGAAGUAUUGCUACUAAUGUCAGCUUGCAAACAGCCAUCCAACAAAUGCAUGGCUAUCCACAGCCCUGUUAUGUCAAGCUUAAACACUUCUGUGCUUUCUGAAAUUCAGUCUGCGAAGGCACUUAAGAAGAGAA